Molecule: ribosomal RNA, 497 nt
Filed under: uncultured bacterium
Lineage: Bacteria
Description: partial 16S ribosomal RNA
Rfam family: Bacterial small subunit ribosomal RNA
Source: RNAcentral
GAUGAACGCUGGCGGCGUGCCUAACACAUGCAAGUCGAGCGUGAUUUAUGAGGACGAAACUUCGGUCUAGGAAUCAUAAUGAAAGCGGCGGACGGGUGAGUAACGCGUAGGCAACCUGCCCUUAACACAGGGAUAGCCUCGGGAAACCGGGAUUAAAACCUGAUGAUGCCAAAGAGUCACAUGGCUCGUUGGCCAAAGAUUUAUCGGUCAAGGAUGGGCCUGCGUCUGAUUAGUUUGUUGGUGGGGUAACGGCCUACCAAGACUACGAUCAGUAGCCGACCUGAGAGGGUGAUCGGCCACAUUGGAACUGAGACACGGUCCAAACUCCUACGGGAGGCAGCAGUGGGGAAUAUUGCACAAUGGGCGAAAGCCUGAUGCAGCAACGCCGCGUGAGCGAUGAAGGCCUUUGGGUCGUAAAGCUCUGUCCUUGGGGAAGAAACAAAUGACGGUACCCAAGGAGGAAGCCCCGGCUAACUACGUGCCAGCAGCCGCAGUAA